UGGGGAAUAUUGCACAAUGGGCGAAAGCCUGAUGCAGCAACGCCGCGUGAGUGAUGAAGGCCUUCGGGUUGUAAAGCUCUGUCUUCUGGGACGAUAAUGACGGUACCAGAGGAGGAAGCCACGGCUAACUACGUGACAGCAGCCGCGGUAAUACGUAGGUGGCAAGCGUUGUCCGGAUUUACUGGGCGUAAAGGAUGCGUAGGCGGAUACUUAAGUCAGAUGUGAAAAUCCCGGGCUUAACUUGGGAACUGCAUUUGAAACUGGGUAUCUAGAGUGCGGGAGAGGAAAGUGGAAUUCCUAGUGUAGCGGUGAAAUGCGUAGAGAUUAGGAAGAACACCAGUGGCGAAGGCGACUUUCUGGACCGUAACUGACGCUGAGGCAUGAAAGCGUGGGGAGCAAACA
This 402-nucleotide ribosomal RNA is filed under the name uncultured bacterium. Its description in RNAcentral is "bacterial SSU rRNA". It matches the Rfam family "Bacterial small subunit ribosomal RNA", at positions 355 to 774 of the family's 1533-position model. The record is from RNAcentral.